RNAcentral lists this ribosomal RNA (628 nucleotides) under Aspergillus oryzae. RNAcentral's name for it is "eukaryotic LSU rRNA". It matches the Rfam family "Eukaryotic large subunit ribosomal RNA", at positions 1 to 649 of the family's 3401-position model. The record is from RNAcentral. Lineage: Eukaryota; Fungi; Ascomycota; Eurotiomycetes; Eurotiales; Aspergillaceae.
CUCGGAUCAGGUAGGGAUACCCGCUGAACUUAACAUAUCAAUAAGCGGAAGAAAAGAAACCAACCGGGAUUGCCUCAGUAACGGCGAGUGAAGCGGCAAGAGCUCAAAUUUGAAAGCUGGCUCCUUCGGGGUCCGCAUUGUAAUUUGCAGAGGAUGCUUCGGGUGCGGCCCCUGUCUAAGUGCCCUGGAACGGGCCGUCAGAGAGGGUGAGAAUCCCGUCUGGGAUGGGGUGUCCGCGCCCGUGUGAAGCUCCUUCGACGAGUCGAGUUGUUUGGGAAUGCAGCUCUAAAUGGGUGGUAAAUUUCAUCUAAAGCUAAAUACUGGCCGGAGACCGAUAGCGCACAAGUAGAGUGAUCGAAAGAUGAAAAGCACUUUGAAAAGAGAGUUAAAAAGCACGUGAAAUUGUUGAAAGGGAAGCGCUUGCGACCAGACUCGCCUCCAGGGUUCAGCCGGCAUUCGUGCCGGUGUACUUCCCUGGGGGCGGGCCAGCGUCGGUUUGGGCGGCCGGUCAAAGGCUCCCGGAAUGUAGUGCCCUCCGGGGCACCUUAUAGCCGGGAGUGCAAUGCGGCCAGCCUGGACCGAGGAACGCGCUUCGGCACGGACGCUGGCAUAAUGGUCGUAAACGACC